AUACAGAGGGUGCAAGCGUUAAGCGGAUUUACUGGGCGUAAAGCGCGCGUAGGUGGCUAAUUAAGUCAAAUGUGAAAUCCCCGAGCUUAACUUGGGAAUUGCAUUCGACACUGGUUAGCUAGAGUAUGGGAGAGGAUGGUAGAAUUCCAGGUGUAGAGGUGAAAUGCGUAGAGAUCUGGAGGAAUACCGAUGGCGAAGGCAGCCAUCUGGCCGAAUACUGACACUGAGGUGCGAAAGCAUGGGGAGCAAACAGGAUUAGAUACCCUGGUAGUCCAGGCCGUAAACGAUGUCUACUAGCCGUUGGGGCCCUUGAGGCUUUAGUGGCGCAGCUAACGCGAUAAGUAGACCGCCUGGGGAGUACGGUCGCAAGACUAAAACUCAAAUGAAUUGACGGGG
RNAcentral lists this ribosomal RNA (396 nucleotides) under uncultured bacterium. RNAcentral describes it as "partial 16S ribosomal RNA". It matches the Rfam family "Bacterial small subunit ribosomal RNA", at positions 523 to 918 of the family's 1533-position model. The record is from RNAcentral.